This 370-nucleotide ribosomal RNA is filed under the name uncultured bacterium. RNAcentral's name for it is "bacterial SSU rRNA". It matches the Rfam family "Bacterial small subunit ribosomal RNA", at positions 527 to 896 of the family's 1533-position model. The record is from RNAcentral.
GAAGGGGGCGAGCGUUGUUCGGAUUUACUGGGCGUAAAGGGCGCGCAGGCGGUUCUGUUUGUCGAGUGUGAAAGCCCCGGGCUCAACCUGGGAACUGCGCUCGAAACGGCGGAACUAGAGUUCGGGAGAGGAGAGUGGAAUUCCCAGUGUAGAGGUGAAAUUCGUAGAUAUUGGGAAGAACACCGGUGGCGAAGGCGGCUCUCUGGACCGAUACUGACGCUGAGGCGCGAAAGCGUGGGGAGCAAACAGGAUUAGAUACCCUGGUAGUCCACGCUGUAAACGAUGUGUGCUAGACGUUGGGGAGCCUAGCUCUUCGGUGUCGCAGCUAACGCGGUAAGCACACCGCCUGGGGAGUACGGCCGCAAGGUUA